RNAcentral lists this unclassified non-coding RNA (295 nucleotides) under Bombus terrestris (buff-tailed bumblebee). RNAcentral describes it as "misc RNA ENSBTSG00005033656.1". The record is from RNAcentral. Lineage: Eukaryota; Metazoa; Arthropoda; Insecta; Hymenoptera; Apidae.
CGCUACGAAAGUGCGCGUGGCUGACACACGAGGGACCUGCGAUAGGGAGCCGGCGUUUUAUUGGCGAGGGAAAAAGAAAAUGGUGCUAAGUCGGGAUCGCUUCGUCAAACGGGCAGGCGUUGAAGGAUCAGCCGAGGCAGCAAUUAAAAAGGACGAUGCCCAGGCCGAAUGGUUCCUUGCGCAAGCAUCUGCUGUCCACGAUGAUGUAACACGACGUUUCAACAAUAGCUCGUUCGUUGAAGCGGCGAUCGACAGGUCCCGUUCCUCGAAAAGCAGCUCUAUGCAAAUUUUCCAG